GGAGGGCUUAACACAUGCAAGUCGAGCGGAUGAAAGUAGCUUGCUACUGGAUUCAGCGGCGGACGGGUGAGUAAUGCUUAGGAAUCUGCCUAUUAGUGGGGGACAACGUUCCGAAAGGAGCGCUAAUACCGCAUACGUCCUACGGGAGAAAGCAGGGGACCUUCGGGCCUUGCGCUAAUAGAUGAGCCUAAGUCGGAUUAGCUAGUUGGUAGGGUAAAGGCCUACCAAGGCGACGAUCUGUAGCGGGUCUGAGAGGAUGAUCCGCCACACUGGGACUGAGACACGGCCCAGACUCCUACGGGAGGCAGCAGUGGGGAAUAUUGGACAAUGGGGGGAACCCUGAUCCAGCCAUGCCGCGUGUGUGAAGAAGGCCUUUUGGUUGUAAAGCACUUUAAGCGAGGAGGAGGCUACCUAGAUUAAUACUUUAGGAUAGUGGACGUUACUCGCAGAAUAAGCACCGGCUAACUCUGUGCCAGCAGCCGCGGUAAUACAGAGGGUGCGAGCGUUAAUCGGAUUUACUGGGCGUAAAGCGUGCGUAGGCGGCCAAUUAAGUCAAAUGUGAAAUCCCCGAGCUUAACUUGGGAAUUGCAUUCGAUACUGGUUGGCUAGAGUAUGGGAGAGGAUGGUAGAAUUCCAGGUGUAGCGGUGAAAUGCGUAGAGAUCUGGAGGAAUACCGAUGGCGAAGGCAGCCAUCUGGCCUAAUACUGACGCUGAGGUACGAAAGCAUGGGGAGCAAACAGGAUUAGAUACCCUGGUAGUCCAUGCCGUAAACGAUGUCUACUAGCCGUUGGGGCCCUUGAGGCUUUAG
This 808-nucleotide ribosomal RNA is filed under the name Acinetobacter radioresistens. RNAcentral describes it as "bacterial SSU rRNA". It matches the Rfam family "Bacterial small subunit ribosomal RNA", at positions 41 to 843 of the family's 1533-position model. Lineage: Bacteria; Pseudomonadati; Pseudomonadota; Gammaproteobacteria; Moraxellales; Moraxellaceae. The record is from RNAcentral.